GAGCAUGCGCGGCCCGUGUGCACCGGCAGGAAGGGGGCGCGUUUGGACUGUUUGAUUAGACCGGGAGCGGCGAGGGAGCGAGGUGGCGCACCUGACGCUGAGGUUGCCACCCUGCUGGGCUGAGGCCUUCCGAGAAGCCGAAUGAGCGACGUGACAUGAGAAGUCCCAAGAGAGCGAAUCUGAAACCCGCGCCUCCUGAAUUCAGAUUGCUGGGAGGCGAGAUGAGUUAGACUCUGUCCCCAGAUACAAGCAACAUCACUUCCUUCAGAUAUAAAGACUUUCUUGGAGAUUAAAUUUGCAAAAUUUUGGGGCUGACACUGUGAUGCAGCAGGUUUACGCCCUGGCCUGAAGUGCCGGCAUCCUGUAUGGGCGCUGGUUCUCGUCCUGGCUGCUCCUCUUCCGAUCUAGCUCUCUGCUAUGGCCUGGGAAAGCAGUAGAAGAUGGCCCAAGUUCAUGGGCCCCUGCACCCACGUGGGAGACCUGGCUCCUGGCUUUGGAUCGGCGCAGCUCCAGCCAUUGCAGCCAACCGGGGAGUGAACCAUCAGAUAGAACACCUCUCUCUGCCUCUCCUUCUCUCUCUGUGUAACUCUGACUUUCAAAUAAAUAAAUCUUUAAAAAAAUUUGCAAAUUUUUUGUUUAUAAUUUGUCUUUUUAUUUAUUGUUACUAAUGCCUUUUGUAAAGUACCCCCACACACACAUUUUUAAAUAUAUUUAAAUUAAUUUUUUAAUUUAUUUGAAAGGCAGAGAGAGAGGGAGAGAGAAUUCCCAUCUGCUGGCUUACUCUCCAAAUGCCCACAGCAUCUGAAACUGGACCAGAUCAAAGCAAAGAGCUGGAACACAAUCAAGGUCCCCCAUGUGGCUAGCAAGAAUCCAACCAUUUGAAUCAUCACCACUGUCAUCUAGGGUCUGCAGUAACAGAAAGCUGGAGUCAGGAGAUUUAUCAGGGCAUCAAACCCCGUUACUCUAAUGGGAAACAAGAACAUCUUAAUUGGUGUCUGAACUGUUCAGCUAAAUCCUGCCCCAUUUAAAAUUUUUGAGUAACACAUAAUGUAUGGGGUACAAUGUCAUAUUUCAAUACAUGUAUGUAAUGUGUAAUGAUCAGGGUAAUUGGCAUAUACAUCACCUCACACAUUUAUUAUUUGUUUAUGUUGAGAACAUUCCAAAUUCUCUAAGCUAUUUUGAAAUAUACAGUUAGGAGACCAGCAUCAUGGUGUAGCAGGUUAAUCUACUAUUUGUGACACUGGUAUCUCCUGUGGGUGCUUGUUUGUGUCCUCACUGCUCCACUUCUGAUCCAGCUCCCUGCUAAUGUGCCUGGGAAAACUGCAGAAGAUAGCCCAGGUGCCUGAGCCUCUGCCACCCAAGUAGGAGACCCAGAUGAAGCUCCUGGCUUCUGGCUUCAACCUGGUGAGCCCACUUGGGGAGUGAACCAGCAGAUGAAUAUUCCUUCUCUCUCUCUCUAACUUUGUCUUUCAAAUAAAUAUAUCAAUCCUUUUUGGAAAAAGAAAUAUCCAAUUAGAUGUUGUCAAUUCUUGUUACUCUAUUGUGCAUUAAAAUUCAUUUCUCUUGGCCAGCACCGUGGCUCACUAGGCUAAUCCUCCGCCUUGCGGUGCCAGCACAACGGGUUCUAGUCCCAGUCGGGGCACCAGAUUCUGUCCCGGUUGCCCCUCUUCCAGGCCAGCUCUCUGCUGUGGCCCGGGAAGGCAGUGGAGGAUGGCCCAAGUGUUUGGGCCCUGCACCCCAUGGGAGACCAGGAGAAGUACCUGGCUCCUGCCAUCAGAUCAGCGUGGUGCGCUGGCCACAGCGCGCCAGCCGUGGCGGCCAUUGGAGGGUGAACCAACGGCAAAAGGAAGACCUUUCUCUCUGUCUCUCUCUCUCUCUCUCACUGUCUACUCUGCCUGUCAAAAAAAAAAAAAAAUUCAUUUCCCUUCUCCAACUGCUCCCUUAAUGAUUCCCAUUAAGAAUCUUUUCCCCAUCCUCCUUUUGCAAAAUUUUAAAUAUUGAUGAAGUCAAAUUUAUAAUUUUUUUCUUUUUGUAUUAUAUAAGGAAUCAUUGCACAAUGAUAGGUCAUUAAGAUUUUCUCCAAGGAUUCUGUCUAAAAGUUGUAUAUUUUAUAUUUUACAUUUAGAUAUAUAAUGCAUUUUGAAUUAAUAUUAAUAUAAAGUAUGAAAAAUUAAAGUUCAUGUUUUUAUGGGACAGCAUCAUUUGUUGAAAAAGACAAUCCUUUGGGCCUUUGCUGAAAACCAAUUGUCAGCAUUUAUAUGGGUCUGUUUCUGGGCUGUUUAUUCUGUUCCACCGAUCUAAGUGCCUAUCUCUUCCCUAGUACAUACUUUCUUGAUUCAGCUAGUGCUCUAGUGCUUUUUUUUUUUUUUUUUUUAAAGUAUUUAUAUUUGUUGAAAGGCAGAGAAACAGAGAGAGAGAGACAGACACAGGGAGAGAUAGACAGACAGACAGACAUAUUCCACCCACUACUUCAUUUCCCAAAUACCAGCAACAGCCAGAGUUAGACCAGGCCAAAGCCAAGAGUCUUGAUGUUUCAGUUUGCCUUAUGAUGACAUUUCCCUCUGUUUAGUAAUUCCUUAGAGUAGAUCUGUUAACAAUUCCCUUUAUUUUCCUUGUCUGAGAAUUUGUUUAACUUCAUCCAUGAGUUAUGUUUUUGUGAGAUAUAGUAUUUUGAUUGACAUAUUUUUGCUUCAUUUUGUUUCUUGCACUUUAAGUUGUUCCACCCUUCAUUGUUUCAGAUGAGAAAUUUGUAGUCGUUCAAAUUGUUUUUCUUCUAUAGUAAUGUGAUUUUUUUUCCUUGUAUCUGCUAUCAAGAAUUUUUUUCUUUAAUUUUCAGCAGGUUGAUUUUGACGUGUUUGGGCAUGGAUUGCUUUGAAUUAAUCCUUCUUGGAGUUUGCUAAGUUUAUUUAACAUGUAAAGUUAUGUUUUCCACCAAAUUUUUGGAAUUUUCAAUUAUUUUUCAAUAUUUUCACUAUACUAAAUUAUCUUAUUGUGGCUUCAAUAUCCAUUCUUGAACCCAUAGUAACAUGAAUAUUAGAUCUUUUGCUACUUUUCCAGUCAUCCCUGAGAUGAUGUUCAUUUUUUCCUCAAUAACUUUUCUUUCUGCUUUUCAGUCCAGGCAAUUUAUAUUGUCUACCUCAAAAUUUGUUGAGUCUUUCUUCUGCCAUCUCCUUUCUGUGACUGAGUUCAUUCAAUGUGUUCUUUAUUUCUGUUAUUCUAUUUUUCAGUUCUGAAUUUCAAUUUAAUUCUUUUUAAGACUUAUUUAUUUUAUUUGAAAGUCAGAGUUACACAGAGAGAGAAGGAACGGCAGAGAGAGAGAGAGAGAGAGAGAGAGAGAAAGAGAGAGAGAGGUCUUCCAUCUGAUGGUUCACUCCCCAGUUGGCCACAACAGCCGGAGCUGUGCUGUUCUGGAGCCAAGAGCCAAGAGCUUCCUCCAGGUCUUCUUACAUGGGUGCAGGGGCCCAAGGACUUGGGCCAUCUUCUACUGCUUUCCCAGGCCAUAGCAGAGAGCUGGAUCGGAAGUGGAGCAGCCAGGACUUGAACCUAUAUUGGAUGCCAGUACUGCAGGAAGCGGCUUUCCCCGCUAGGCCACAGUGCCGCCCCUUCAAUUUAAUUCUUUAUAUCUUAUUCCUUUGUAUUCCUUUCAAGAAUAUUUUUGCUUAAGUUCUGGUACACUUUUAUAAUAACCACUUUAAAGACUUGAUCAGCUAAUUCCAGGAUCUGUGUAAUCUCAUCAUUGGGCUCUGUUAAUUCUCUUGAGAUUUUCUUGGUUCUUUGUACACUGGAAAAUUUUGAAUUGUGUCCCAACAUUUAAAAUGUUAUGCUGGAAGAUUUCAGAUUUUGUUUAAAUCCUAUGGAGAAUAUUAAUACUUCUGCUUCAGCGGUAAUAGACCUGUGGGUAGAGGCCACAAGUUCAAAUGAACCUUCUCUGUGUUGUUGUAUCAGUGUCAAUUCUGUCUGCAAAGACUUUGCUUUGAUAUUUGGAUCUAUCCUCUGUGUACCAUCAUUAAAUGUUCAGUAGGACCUGUGUAGUGGUCUGUUCUUUAGUUCAGUCUCAAAGUCUUUUUUUUAAAGAAAGAUUUAUUAUUUGUUUUUCUGGAAAGCAGAAUGGGAGAGAAAGAUACACACACACACACACACACACACACACACCACACACGGGGAGAGAGAGAGAGAGAGAGAGAAAUCUUUCAUCUGCUGGUUUACUCUCCAGAUGGCCACAACAGCAGGGUUGGGCCUGGCCAGAGCCAGGAUCCAGCAGGGAUUCUAUCCUGGUCUUCCACAUGGUGGCAGCAACCCAAGUACCCAGACCUUCAUCUGCUGCCUCCCAAAUACAUAAGCAGGAAACUGGAUCAGAGGCAGAGAUGGGAUUUGAUCCCUGGCACUUUGAUAUGGAAUGUGAGUGUAUCAAGUGGUGGUCCAAUUUUCUAUGCUACAACAUCAGCCCCUCAAAUAUUUGAUAUGCUGUUAUGAUCAUAUCUGUUCUUGUGCAGCUUGAGGUCUAGAGUUGAUAACCAACUUUGUAAGUUUCCUGAAUUCCCACCUCUCCAUCUCUUGUACUUUCUGGUGCCUGGAACUUCAUUUUUCAGUCUCAAGGCUAGAAAGCUAAUGCUUUAGUUACCCUGUUCUGUCAUGGUUUUUGUUUUAAUUAUUUUAUUUUAUUUGAAAGAAUUAGUGAGAGAGAGAGGGAGAGUCAGAGAGAGGUCUUCAUUCUGUUUCAACCCAGGUGGCCACAACAGCCAGUACUAAGCCGGGCUGAAUUCAGGAGCCAGGAGUUUCUUCCAGGUCUCUCACAUGUGUGGCAGGGGCCCAAACACCUGGGCCACCUCCCACUGCUUUUCCCAGGCCAUUAGCAGGGAGCUGUAUUGGAAGUGGAACAGCCAGGAUGCAAACUGGUGCCUACAUGACAGCUGGUGUUGCAGGCAAUGGCUUUACCUGCUAUGCCACAAUGCCAGCUCUGGCUAUAUACUUUUUUAGACUUACACCAUUGUCUCGAAUCUAGAGCCACAUAGUGGAAAGAUAAAGGCUAAAAGCAACUUGUAUUUGACCCAUCAUCCUGAAACUCCAUCUUUUCCAUAGAAGAAAUUUCCCAUCCCUCAUAGAUGUUGGAGUGUGCGGGCUCCCGCUGCCAUUGCCAUCAUUGCCACCAUUGGGCUGGCAGGGUGGUCUGGAGCCUGGAGCACUGUAGAACAGAGAACAAAAGAACAAAGAGUGGCAGAUUCCAAAUAUAUUCUCUGAGUAUUAGGAGAAACUUGAGCACAACUCCUGUAACUUUCUCUGUGACCUGAUGCCUGUUCAGAAUUUCAGACCAUCAUACAUCUGCAUUAAAGGAUUCUGGUAGGGAAAACACAAAAAUGAAAAACUCACUGCUGGUUUAUCAUUGUUUUGAAUGCUGUUCUUCUUCCCACAUUAAUCUGCUACUUUUUAUCUUCCAGAGUCCUCAAGUAGCUGUUCCAUACAUUACAUCUAAAUUUUAUAGCUACAGUCAGUAAAACAAAGACAAGAUUCAGGGUACUUACUCUGAAAUAUGUCAUGUUUGCAAAAUUCAGAAGUUGAAGUCCUAACUACCAAUGUAAUGGUAUUUGGAGAUGAGAUCUUAGGGAGGUAAUUAUCAUUAAAUGAAGUCAUGCAGAUGGGGCCCUCAUGAUAGGAUUCAUGAUUUUAUAAGAACGGAUAGCACAGAGCCUAUUUCUCUCUCUUUCCUCCUUGUGAGGACAUCAGAGAAGGCAGCCCUCUGCAAGCCAGAAAGAGAGCCCUUAUCAAGAACCAAAUCAGAUAGUACCUGGAUUCUGGGCUUCCCAGUCUCUCAAACCAUGAGAAAAUAAAUUUCCGUUGUUUGUACCACCCAGUCUAUGUUUGUUAUAGUAUCCUGAGAAGACUAAGACAGUUGCCAAAAUAUUCAUAAGAAGAUUUUAUGGCAACACAUAUUGUGCCAAUUCAGUUACUACUUUUUCUUAUAUUUAGCUACUAGUUUUUCUUAUAUUUAGCUGAAAUUCCAGACAAAAAAAGAAAUAAUCCCCCGCCUAGUCUUAGUUUAAGAGAGAAAAAUAAUUUUGUAUUGUUUAGCUAUAAGACCUCAAAUAUAUAUAUAUAUAUGUUUUAAAUUAAUUUAUUGCUUCAUUGAUCACAAGACCCUUUGAUUCAUUUGUUUAAUGGUUUGCUGUAAAUAAUCUCAAGGCUAAGUGACCAAGGUCUUGCUUGGGCCAAUUCUUUUUAUUUUUUUAUUUUUUUGAUAAGCUUGCUUCAAAGAGAACUUAUGGUUAGAAGAUCAUAGUCCAUUUAUUUCACAUAUACCCUAUUAAAAUAUAAGAAAUAAGAAUAGUGUUGAAUACAUAGAAUGGAGCAGAAGAAAGAUAAAGGAGUUCAUAUUCUGCAGAAUAAUAGUUCUAAAUACAUUCAUAUUUUAUAAUAAGUGAAACACGAGUAAUUCUUGACCAUCCAUAAAGAAGGACAAGUCUUCACAAUUGGAGUGGAACUGGGCUAGAACCAGGCUGUUGUUUCAAGUGGGGCGAAGACUCUAGACUUAGGUACUUUGGUACCUAAGGCAAUUUCAUGUUAUGCUCUACUGCUCUCCACCAGAUGGACUUCUUUUCCUCACUCCCCUCCCCCAAUCUCCCUCUUUUGGUAAUCUUUUUCCAUCUCAUCCGAUCCCUUUUCUCUUUUUGCUUCCUUGUAGUUUUUUGUCCCUCUGAAGUUAGGUUAAUCAGCACAGUAGGAUUUAAAGAAGCUGCUGACCCUUGAGAGAAGUGUCUACGUUUAGCAAUCUCCAUCUCCCAUCUCUCCCUUGUAUGCUGCCUUCCCCUUUCUAUUCAGCCUCUCCAUAUUGUUCUCCUCAGGGCCAUGCUGAGGCCAUUUUUGCCAUUCUUGGCAAAAAGACAUGAAUUAACUCUGUUUGACUCCCUUAGGAAUGAAAAGGUUAUUUCUGAACCCAGUUCUAGAAUAAGAAUAUUGUAAUUUUUCUCUCCCACACUAGAGUUUUAUAAAAGCAUUAUAUUGUUCCAGAAUUAAUUAGGAUAAUCGAUGAAAUUAAACCUCAGUUAUGAUUUGGACACUUAUAUCUUAGAAAAAAUGGAAAGUAAAUGUAAGAAAAUUAUUUCAUCAGAAUUAAUUUGAAAUAGAAAAGUUACUCUUUUGAAUAAAAUUUAGUUUCCACAUCCUAGGAAAUUUUGGUUAUUUGGAUAUGUUGUAACUGAGGUGAAAGGUGCAUCAGUGCGUUUGGUUGGUAAUUAGCAAGGCCUCAUAGCAUACUACCUUUGUUCCCCUUCA
Non-coding RNA from Oryctolagus cuniculus (rabbit), 7266 nucleotides. NCBI's taxonomy places the organism in Eukaryota, Metazoa, Chordata, Mammalia, Lagomorpha, Leporidae. The record is from RefSeq and is a predicted model, not a curated record.